GUUUUCGAACCAUGGAGCGACAUAGCGUUUCGCUAUUCUGCGCUUUGUACUAAGGAUGACAGCAGUGAUCCGCUGCCACCUGACUCACCGGACUUCCACGACGAUGUCAACGAUCACGGGGAGCAAGUAGGCCCUCUGGUAGUAGUAGAAGGCGCACUCCGUGAUGACUUGAGCACCAAGGCAUUCGAUGGUUGCAGCCACCACGCAGCCCUAGUAGAGCAUGCCAGCGGCCAGGAGAAAGUUGCUGGCUCCAGCACCACUACCUCGAACAAGUGGCUUGCUCCUCCACCGGAGCUUGUGCAGUUGCUCGUUCACCCCCUCUACAACGACCAGACUUCCCAUGACACUGAAGUUCAGGUUGCCAACUACUUGGCCACAUAUGGAGCAGUUCAUGAAGGAAGCUCUCAAAAACAAUGAAAUUUCAUUCCCUGUGGAGAGGCUCUUCCAUUGUUAGAAUACCAGUGCCAUCGUCUUAAUGGAUACUGCAGAUGAAUGACCACACAAGACAUAUUAGUGCUUCUGUGUUACUAAAUUGCACAAUGAACAAGUCACAUGGCUUGUUUGAAAGAAAGAAAUAAAAAUUUUAACUCUUCA
Molecule: long non-coding RNA, 594 nt
Organism: Rhipicephalus microplus (southern cattle tick)
Lineage: Eukaryota; Metazoa; Arthropoda; Arachnida; Ixodida; Ixodidae
Source: RefSeq, a predicted model, not a curated record